CGUAGGGUGCGAGCGUUAAUCGGAAUUACUGGGCGUAAAGUGUGCGCAGGUGGCCGCGCAAGUCGAGUGUGAAAUCCCCGAGCUUAACUUGGGAAUUGCGCUCGAAACUACGUGGCUCGAGUGUGGCAGAGGAAGGUGGAAUUCCACGUGUAACGGUGAAAUGCGUAGAGAUGUGGAGGAACACCGAUGGCGAAGGCAGCCUUCUGGGCCAACACUGACGCUCAUGCACGAAAGCGUGGGGAGCAAACAGGAUUAGAUACCCUGGUAGUCCACGCCCUAAACGAUGAUGACUAGUUGUUGGGGGAGUUAAAUCCCUUAGUAACGCAGCUAACGCGUGAAGUCAUCCGCCUGGGGAGUACGGUCGCAAGAUUA
Molecule: ribosomal RNA, 372 nt
Filed under: uncultured organism
Description: bacterial SSU rRNA
Rfam family: Bacterial small subunit ribosomal RNA
Source: RNAcentral